RNAcentral lists this ribosomal RNA (440 nucleotides) under uncultured bacterium. RNAcentral describes it as "partial 16S ribosomal RNA". It matches the Rfam family "Bacterial small subunit ribosomal RNA", at positions 338 to 795 of the family's 1533-position model. The record is from RNAcentral.
CCUACGGGGGGCAGCAGUGGGGAAUAUUGCACAAUGGGCGAAAGCCUGAUGCAGCGACGCCGCGUGAGCGAUGAAGUAUUUCGGUAUGUAAAGCUCUAUCAGCAGGGAAGAAAAUGCCGGUACCUGACUAAGAAGCGCCUGCUAACUACGGGCCAGCAGCCGCGGUAAUACGAAGGGGGCAAGCGUUAUCCGGAUUGACUGGGUGUAAAGGGAGCGUAGACGGCUGUGCAAGCCAGAUGUGAAAGCCCGGGGCUCAAACCCGGGACUGCAUUUGGAACUGUGUGGCUGGAGUGUCGGAGAGGCAGGCGGAAUUCCUAGUGUAGCGGUGAAAUGCGUAGAUAUUAGGAGGAACACCAGUGGCGAAGGCGGCCUGCUGGACGAUAACUGACGUUGAGGCUCGAAAGCGUGGGGAGCAAACAGGAUUAGAUACCCUAGUAGUC